Molecule: ribosomal RNA, 293 nt
Filed under: uncultured bacterium
Lineage: Bacteria
Description: partial 16S ribosomal RNA
Rfam family: Archaeal small subunit ribosomal RNA
Source: RNAcentral
GUGCCAGCCGCCGCGGUAAUACCGGCAGCCCGAGUGAUGGCCGAUCUUAUUGGGCCUAAAGCGUCCGUAGCUGGCUGCGCAAGUCCGUCGGGAAAUCCACUCGCCCAACGAGUGGGCGUCCGACGGAAACUGCACAGCUUGGGACCGGAAGGCUCAGAGAGUACGUCCGGGGUAGGAGUGAAAUCCCGUAAUCCCGGACGGACUACCGAUGGCGAAAGCACUCUGAGAAGACGGCUUCGACAGUGAGGGACGAAAGCUCGGGUCUCAAACCGGAUUAGAUACCCGAGUAGUCC